This is a long non-coding RNA of Vitis riparia (riverbank grape), 704 nucleotides long. RefSeq lists it as uncharacterized. NCBI's taxonomy places the organism in Eukaryota, Viridiplantae, Streptophyta, Magnoliopsida, Vitales, Vitaceae. The record is from RefSeq and is a predicted model, not a curated record. The transcript is spliced from 4 exons.
UCGCUCUCAAUCAGAGAUUGUGUGAAUCUGAAGGUGCCAUUAUCUGAAUGGGGCCUCCACAGGCUCACUUCUCUUUCAUCACUGUACAUUUCCGGUGUAUGUCCAAGUCUGGCAUCUCUUUCAGAUGAUGACUGUCUUCUUCCUUCAACUCUGAGCAAACUUUUUAUCAGUAAGCUGGAUUCCCUGGCCUGUCUGGCUCUCAAAAACCUCUCUUCCCUUGAAAGGAUAUCCAUCUACAGAUGCCCUAAGCUCCGGUCCAUUGGGCUGCCUGAAACGCUAUCAAGACUUGAAAUAAGGGAUUGCUAACAACAUCCCAAGAUGAAUUCUGCGCCCUGUAUAAAAAACGGGAAAAAAACUCACUCAGGCUUGGAUGGGCGGUGGCUUUUGACAGCAUCACCGGCUUAUGGCUAAAACUGAGUGUAAAAUCUCUUGCCCUGCUUAAGCUGUUUUGUUCUUAUUUGUUUCAGAUCAAGGAAGCCGUUCAAUGACUCAUUUGUCGUUUGCAUUGUGUUUUUCCCUCCUUCAACAAGGAAGGAAAGAAAUAAAGAAGAAAAGAAACAUAUGAAAUCCAAAAUUUCCGAACAUUAAGCAGCAAAUUCACAUGGUGAUGGUAGGAAGAAAAGAAUGAUGAAGGUGGUCAGUGCUUAUCAGGACUUGUUUUUCUGGUUUCUGCUAUUGUACACAAGCAUGAAUAUGUAUGCUAU